RNAcentral lists this ribosomal RNA (813 nucleotides) under uncultured bacterium. RNAcentral describes it as "bacterial SSU rRNA". It matches the Rfam family "Bacterial small subunit ribosomal RNA", at positions 8 to 816 of the family's 1533-position model. The record is from RNAcentral.
AGAGUUUGAUCCUGGCUCAGGACGAUUGCUGGCGGCGUGCCUAACACAUGCGAGUCGAGCGGAGACUUAACGAAUGAAGUUUUCGGAUGGAUUUUGUUAAGUUUUAGCGGCGGACGGGUGAGUAACGCGUGAGCAACCUGCCCUCUACUGGGGAACAACACAUCGAAAGAUGUGCUAAUACCGCAUAAGACCACAGUACUGACAUGGUACAGGGGUCAAAGGAGCAAUUCGGUAGAGGAUGGGCUCGCGUCUGAUUAGCUAGUUGGUGAGGUAACGGCCCACCAAGGCGACGAUCAGUAGCCGACCUGAGAGGGUGAUCGGCCACAUUGGAACUGAGAAACAGUCCAAUACUCCUACGGGAGGCAGCAGUGGGGAAUAUUGGGCAAUGGGCCCCAGCCUGACCCAGCAACGCCGCGUGAAGGAAGAAGGUUUUCGGAUCGUAAACUUCUAUCCUUGGUGAAGAUAAUGACGGUAGCCAAGAAGGAAGCCCCGGCUAACUACGUGCCAGCAGCCGCGGUAAUACGUAGGGGGCAAGCGUUGUCCGGAAUGAUUGGGCGUAAAGGGCGCGUAGGCGGCCAACUAAGUCUGGAGUGAAAGUCCUGCUUUUAAGGUGGGAAUUGCUUUGGAAACUGGAUGGUUUGAGUGCAGGAGAGGUAAGCGGAAUUCCCGGUGUAGCGGUGAAAUGCGUAGAGAUCGGGAGGAACACCAGUGGCGAAGGCGGCUUACUGGACUGUUACUGACGCUGAGGCGCGAAAGUGUGGGGAGCAAACAGGAUUAGAUACCCUGGUAGUCCACACUGUAAACGAUGAAUGC